AUGGAGGGAAGAGUUUGCCCUAACCGCCUAGCAUAUGUGUACUUUCUUAAAGCCUCCGCGCUCAUGACAGCCGCCGUCGUCCUCUGUGCUGUGCUGGUCCUGUCGUCCAUGGGGCAGACCGCGAUGGGCGAUUGCGCCUCCGAGUGCGCCGCCGCGUGCUCCUGCACUGGUACGUGCCGGCCCUGCAUCCAGGAAGCGGCAUGCACCGGUAUCUGCAACCCCGCCUCCGUCCAGUUCUCAAACUGCUGGGGCUGCAAGGAGACCGCCAGGACAACGUGCGAAAACGAAUGCGUCACCGGCUGCUCAUUCCAAUAA
RNAcentral lists this ribosomal RNA (315 nucleotides) under Triticum aestivum (bread wheat). RNAcentral describes it as "partial small subunit ribosomal RNA". Lineage: Eukaryota; Viridiplantae; Streptophyta; Magnoliopsida; Poales; Poaceae. The record is from RNAcentral.